AACGAACGCUGGCGGCAGGCUUAACACAUGCAAGUCGAGCGCCCCGCAAGGGGAGCGGCAGACGGGUGAGUAACGCGUGGGAAUAUACCCAUCCCUACGGAAUAGCUCCGGGAAACUGGAAUUAAUACCGUAUACGCCCUACGGGGGAAAGAUUUAUCGGGGAUGGAUGAGACCGCGUUGGCUUAGACAGUUGGUGGGGUAAAGGCCUACCAAGGCGACGAUCCAUAGCUGGUGUGAGAGGAUAAUCAGCCACAUUGGGACUGAGACACGGCCCAAACUACUACGGGAGGCAGCAGUGGGGAAAAUGGGACAAUGGGGGCAACCCUGAUCCAGCCAUGCCGCGUGAGUGAUGAAGGCCUUAGGGUUGUAAAGCUCUUUCACCGGGGAAGAUAAUGACGGUACUUGAGGAGGAAGCCCCGGCUAACUACGUGCCAGCCGCCGCAGUAA
Molecule: ribosomal RNA, 447 nt
Filed under: uncultured bacterium
Lineage: Bacteria
Description: partial 16S ribosomal RNA
Rfam family: Bacterial small subunit ribosomal RNA
Source: RNAcentral